GAAGUUUAAAUAGAUUUUACUAUGUUUAGUUACGGACUAAAAAGAUUAGGCUUUU
This 55-nucleotide transfer RNA is filed under the name Ascaridia galli. Its description in RNAcentral is "tRNA-Arg". Lineage: Eukaryota; Metazoa; Nematoda; Chromadorea; Rhabditida; Ascaridiidae. The record is from RNAcentral.